UACGGAGGGUGCAAGCGUUAUCCGGAUUCACUGGGCUUAAAGGGUGCGUAGGUGGGCUGGUAAGUCAGUGGUGAAAUCUCCGGGCUUAACUCGGAAACUGCCAUUGAUACUAUCAGUCUUGAAUACCGUGGAGGUCAGUAGAAUAUGUCAUGUAGCGGUGAAAUGUUUAGAUAUGACAUAGAAUACCAAUUGCGAAGGCAGCUGGCUACACGAAUAUUGACACUCAGGCACGAAAGCGUGGGGAUCAAACAGG
RNAcentral lists this ribosomal RNA (253 nucleotides) under uncultured bacterium. RNAcentral describes it as "partial 16S ribosomal RNA". It matches the Rfam family "Bacterial small subunit ribosomal RNA", at positions 524 to 776 of the family's 1533-position model. The record is from RNAcentral.